Lemur catta (Ring-tailed lemur) is the source of this 637-nucleotide long non-coding RNA. RefSeq lists it as uncharacterized. The record is from RefSeq and is a predicted model, not a curated record. The transcript has 3 exons. NCBI's taxonomy places the organism in Eukaryota, Metazoa, Chordata, Mammalia, Primates, Lemuridae.
AGUAUUCUGGGAAGAGUUACGAUGGCGAGAUUGAGAUGGUUGGCUGUUACCAGGGCAACCGGAGGCGCUUGACAGUUAUCUGCGGUUUGGAACCGCUAGCUAGAGGGGCUGAGAUGCUCAGAGGCCUUUUAGGAUGAGCGAAAGGGUCAUGAGAACCCUCUUAAAAGAAGAUUGUUCUAUCAGGAGGUUAUCCAGUGGUUCUCCGCGAUAGAACUGCCGGACCUGGGGAUCUGGUCGCGCCCUCUUGUUUUUCUUUGAGUCAGUCCUUUAGAGUAAAUGAAGUGUGGCCCAGUAGCUCCUCACUGUCUCUUCUCUUGUUUUCUGCCUCCUUUUAGAAAAUGGAAUUGAAAAGACAGAGAUGAAGUGGAUGCAGCAUGUGGAGACAAUUCUUUCAAGAAGUUUGGCUGUAAAGGAAAAAAGAGAAGGUGCUAAAGACCACAUGAGCAAGGAGCAGACAAGUCACCUUUGCUACCACAUGGUGGUUUGUCUAAAUUGAAGCUAAAGAAGCCAAGCUGGAAGACAGAGACCAAGUCCUGAUGACAUUGUUUGAACUCAGGGAUCCCAACAUGCCUAAAAACUAUUUUUACCACUGGACUUCUCAGUUAAAUGAGCUAAUAAAUUCUCUUUUUUACUUAAA